Molecule: ribosomal RNA, 120 nt
Filed under: Gadus morhua (Atlantic cod)
Lineage: Eukaryota; Metazoa; Chordata; Actinopteri; Gadiformes; Gadidae
Source: RNAcentral
GCUUACGGCCAUACCACCUUAGGCACGCCCGAUCUCGUCUGAUCUCGGAAGCUAAGCAGGGUCGGGCCUGGUUAGUACUUGGAAUGGGUGACCGCCUGGGAAUACCAGGUGCUGUAAGCA